Molecule: unclassified non-coding RNA, 342 nt
Filed under: soil metagenome
Description: partial contains 5.8S ribosomal RNA, internal transcribed spacer 2, and large subunit ribosomal RNA
Rfam family: 5.8S ribosomal RNA (bases 1-120)
Source: RNAcentral
GAUGAAGAACGCAGCGAAAUGCGAUAAGUAAUGUGAAUUGCAGAAUUCAGUGAAUCAUCGAAUCUUUGAACGCGCAUUGCGCCCGCCAGCACUCUGGCGGGCAUGCCUGUUCGAGCGUCAUUUCAACCAUCAAGCCCCCAGGGGCUUGUGCUGGGGCCCUGCGGCUGCCCGCAGGCCCUGAAAACCAGUGGCGGGCUCGCUAGUCACACCGAGCGCAGUAGCACAUCUCGCUCAGGGCGUGCGGCGGGCUCCUGCCGUGAAACCCCCCACUGUAACCCCAAAGGUUGACCUCGGAUCAGGUAGGAAUACCCGCUGAACUUAAGCAUAUCAAUAAGCGGAGGA